This is a long non-coding RNA of Scophthalmus maximus (turbot), 2823 nucleotides long. RefSeq lists it as uncharacterized. The record is from RefSeq and is a predicted model, not a curated record. NCBI's taxonomy places the organism in Eukaryota, Metazoa, Chordata, Actinopteri, Pleuronectiformes, Scophthalmidae. The transcript is spliced from 2 exons.
CUCUCUGCUCUGGUCUGUCAACACACUCGCGUCACAUGAUUCGUCUGCGUCCAUUGACGUUUCUGUAAUAACCAUCAGUCCCGACAGUGGCUUCAAAGCUUCUGCCUCCAGCACAUAUAUCACGGUGUCAACGCGGAGGACGUCGCCCCCCCCCCCCCCUCUUCCCGGAAACGUCCAGUUAAAACACAAGUGCCUUCACUCUCUCUCCAGACCAAAAUAAAUAACCAGCGAGCCCCGGCCCAGCCACAUUCCUUUCCAUUGCCUUGAUUCCCCCCCCAGAGCUGAUGCGUCUGCUGCAUGCCGAGCUUCUCCCCUUCUCCCCUUCUCCCAUCGAGUGGCGUGGUCGAGCGUUGGAUGGGGGCUGAUUGUGAUCACCGAGGUGAGACCCUUCCUCUGGGGUCGGGACGCUUCCCAAGGCAUCAAUCAUGGUCCAUCAUCGCCCCUCUCGUCAGACUGGCCAUGGUUGCACUUCCUGAUUCCUUUCUUGGUUGGUAGCGCUGUAACAUGAAGACUUAGAAAAUCAUGGCGAUGGUGAUGGAUUUAUUAAUAUUUUGUAAAUUUAGCUUGAUGAGCUGUUAAGGGGUUCCCAUGUUUUUGUCAAAGACACGAUCACCUUCCGAAAAUUAAUAAUAAAUGUUCAUUUGUUUGUUUGUUUCCAGUUUUCAGGCAUCGGUCAUGGCCUCUGCACACGAAUCUUUGUCCAAAAAGGUUCAACUAUAUUUAUUUUUUAGAAAAAUCCCAAAUACAAAUACAUAUUAGCUGGGGUAUCUGGGUAGUUUAUUAGCCAUGACGGGAAAGAAAACAAAUAUCACAAAACUUGAAUUAGUUGCAUCACACAGAAAUGAAUUCAUACCUUCUGAUUCAAGCACACUCUCCUCACAUUAAAGUUCCACGAGGCAACUUUUCAUGCUGACGGCUCAAUAUACGUAAUAAAUUUACAGGGUGGGCUGGAGGAACGGAGGUCAGUGAACGCCUCGCGGCCAAUGUGAACUCUGUGUCUCUUUUAGCGAAUGGCCCGGAUAUAUUUUAAGAGGUUCCGCAGUCGGACAGUUGGUUGAACGGUGCGAGACUUGUUUUGAGCUGCAUGAAGUGGAUGCGGAAUAAGUGAGUGUGUUAGUGGGCCAUUGUUUCAAAGUUUUGUUUUUCUAAAAAAUUCAUGGUGUUGACCUUUAAACGACCGUAUGUCUUUUGUUUCACGCUCAUGUUGUUCUGAUAUCACACAUGAAUCGUGUUGAAUAGAGUCUUUAUGUCUUGAAACACUAUCAAACCAUUCAUAUCGCUUUCUGCGUAUUCUUUUUUUUCAUAUGUAAUUUUUCCUCGACUGUUUACAAAAUCCGUAACGAAGAUCUGCUGCUCAAUAGGCACAUAGACAUUUUAAUUCCUUCGUGUGACUGAAUCGCAGAUUGAACCGUCAAACCGUCUCACACGCUCUUGCAAGUUUUUCAUUUCACAUUUUUUUUCCCCGCGGGCAAAAUAAACUUUCGCGAGUUUGACAGGUAGAGCCGCGGUUGUUUGGGAUUUUUUUGAAAUGGGAAAAACUGCGAACAUGCAAUAUUCCGUUUGAAUUCGGUCUAUCUGCUUUCAACUCGGCUAUUCUGUCUUGCUCCAUAUUGAUCACAUGUUGUGUCCGUGAACGCCGGCGGCGAGCGCUCGAGAAUCGAUGGGAGUCGAAGAGUCGAGGUCAGCGCGUCUUCGUGCUGUCUGUGUGUCUGUGCAUGUGCGCCGCGGUGAAGCGACUGACCGCGCAGCAGCUUCAGCCAUCGCAUCAACUUCAGUCCCAGUGAGAAGGGGAAGAGGAAAAGAUGGAGCAACGCUCUGAACUCUCCUGGAGCACAGCGACCGAAUGCAUGAAAAGACCCGUUGCGCUGAAUGGAUGGACGUUGUGUGAAUGGCACAGAGCACGUGUGAGGUCCGGUGCAUUGUGGGGCUGUAAUAUGUGACCGACCGACAGCCCCCAUGUAGAAGAAAUAUUCCUGUACUUUUGCAGCAUUUACAUAAAACCGAGACCGUCAGGUUUUUUUAUUUUUUACAUUGUAGACGUUGGCAUCGCACCAAGUCUCCUUUUCUCAGCUUUUUACCCAUAAAUCUGCCUCCGUCCUCCCGCCGGGCGACCCCCCCCCCCCCCCCGCGCAGAGCCAGCGGAAACGUGGUACAUUUCUGCCCAAGUCGUGGCAGCACAACCUGGGUUGGAAAGCUUAGAUUUCUCCCAGCUGAAAGGGAGUAAAUAUCUGUCUAGAAUGUUACAUGGAGUCAAAAUAAAAUAAGGCCAAAAGACGGAUCCUGUAAAAACCUGGACUGAAACUGGAGAAGGAGUCAGACGCCAUAUUUUGAGUGACAUAAACAGGCUGCAGCCAUUGUUUGGCACAAUGUGAAGAAACGUCACCUGGGAUAUGUCUAAAAUAUAGUUUUUGAAUGGGUUGGGCAGGGGUACGUUCAAAGGAGAUAAAUAUAUAGUUAAAUUGACUUAGACAGACUCAUAUUUUAGUGACAAUGUUUAUUCUUGACCUUGGGAAUAGGAAAUUGUUCUCAAUCUAAAUUAAAGAUGUGUAAAUGAGCUUUUUCUCGAGCUGGUCUUCAAAGUUUGCUCGACAUUAAAAAAAGAAGGAAAGUAAACUUCACUGAUCAAUAUCCAACUGUUAGUUAUUAUGAUAAUGCUUUCAAUUACACCAUAACCAAGUAAUGUGUAUUAAGGAAACUAAGGAAUAUUCACUGUACAGUCUUUAUGCUAAGCUAAGGUAUGUAGCCAUCGUAACCCUUGUGGUUGUUGAUUGACAUACAGGCAAAUUGUAUUUGAGGCAUUUUGUAAGUUGUAUUUUCGCUCAU